This 174-nucleotide small nucleolar RNA is filed under the name Sorghum bicolor (sorghum). Its description in RNAcentral is "small nucleolar RNA snoR127". It matches the Rfam family "small nucleolar RNA snoR127". The record is from Rfam by way of RNAcentral. Lineage: Eukaryota; Viridiplantae; Streptophyta; Magnoliopsida; Poales; Poaceae.
CUGGAAUGAUGAAAGUUAGCCAAAUCGUAUAAUGAUGUGCUCCUCCUGGUGUCAUUUUAAUCUGUGCACUUGGUGAAAUUUUCUUCUUUCCCAAGCACAAGAUGAGAUGACUGGAGUUGAAGUUUGCAUCAGUAUGUGAUGAUAAAAAUUGAGAUUGGUAACUUGCUGACCAGA